This 199-nucleotide ribosomal RNA is filed under the name uncultured bacterium. Its description in RNAcentral is "partial 16S ribosomal RNA". It matches the Rfam family "Bacterial small subunit ribosomal RNA", at positions 328 to 539 of the family's 1533-position model. The record is from RNAcentral.
ACGCUCGACACCUACGGAGGCAGCAGUGAGGGAUAUUGGUCAAUGGGGGGAACCCUGAACCAGCAACGCCGCGUGAGGGAUGACGGUCUUCGGAUUGUAAACCUCUGUCCUCUGUGAAGAUAAUGACGGUAGCAGAGGAGGAAGCUCCGGCUAACUACGUGCCUAGCAGCCGCGGUAAUCUGAGGCGGGCUGGCAAGGC